AGAGUUUGAUCCUGGCUCAGGAUGAACGCUGACAGAAUGCUUAACACAUGCAAGUCGAUGGGGAAGCGGCGCUUGCGCCGUGGCAACCAUGGCGGACGGGUGAGUAGCGCGUAAGAACUUGCCGGAUGGACCGGGAUAACAGCUGGAAACGGCUGGCAAGACCGGAUACUAUGGGCUGGCUGCAUGGCUGGCCCAUGAAAAGGGAUGCCGUCCGAGAGCUUUGCGUCCUAUUAGCUGGUUGGUAAGGUGACGGCUUACCAAGGCGAUGAUAGGUAGCCGGCCUGAGAGGGUGGACGGCCACAAGGGGACUGAGAUACGGCCCUUACUCCUACGGGAGGCAGCAGUGGGGAAUAUUGGACAAUGGGGGCAACCCUGAUCUAGCAAUUCUGUGUGCACGAAGAAGGUUUUCGGAUCGUAAAGUGCUUUCAGCAGGGAGGAAGGAAGUGACUGUACCUGCAGAAGAAGCGACGGCUAAAUACGUG
RNAcentral lists this ribosomal RNA (482 nucleotides) under uncultured Leptotrichia sp. RNAcentral's name for it is "bacterial SSU rRNA". It matches the Rfam family "Bacterial small subunit ribosomal RNA", at positions 8 to 507 of the family's 1533-position model. The record is from RNAcentral. Lineage: Bacteria; Fusobacteriati; Fusobacteriota; Fusobacteriia; Fusobacteriales; Leptotrichiaceae.